UUCAUACAGGGAACAGGGAGUGGGGAAUCACAUAAGAGGGCAAGACUAAAUUAAAGGGAUUUAGUGGAAAAGGGGUAUGCAAGAACUCAAACCACAUAGCAACCGAUAAAUAACCCAAAAAAGAGACUGAGCAUGCAAACAAGACAAAAUGGAGAACUAAACAUGCUGAAACUGAAAUAUAUACAGACAAGGGAAAUGGGAAAAUGGAUUAAACAUGCUAAAGCUCAAAUUGAACAGACAAGGGAAACGGGAAGGGGAUUAAACAUGUUGAAUUUAAAUACACAAACAGAUUUUGGAAAGGGGAUUAAACAUGCUAAAGUUUGAAUUGAAAUAUACUAACGGACUAGGGGGAAGGGAAAGGGGCAAUAAUCAUGCUGAUUCAAGCUAGGCAUACUAAUUAACAUAAGUGCAUUCUAGUGGUAAUAAGAACAACAUAACCAUAAGUAAAAGCACACAAGAAACAAGAGGAAGUGCAAAACUGAUAGGAGUAUAUUG
Molecule: long non-coding RNA, 495 nt
Filed under: Nicotiana benthamiana
Lineage: Eukaryota; Viridiplantae; Streptophyta; Magnoliopsida; Solanales; Solanaceae
Description: long non-coding RNA (NBEN_LNC006173)
Source: RNAcentral